AAGAAGAGAUUUUCUAGCUCAAGUAAGAGUGAUAGUAGCAGAACAAACAAUAUUAGUGGAAGCACAUGCAGAAAUAAAAGUAGUGGCAGCAGUUCUAGCAGCAUCACUAAUAGAAAGAAACAAUGGCAACAUGUAUAUAUCUUGAUCUUUUAAUUUGCCAACUCAAACAACUAUUGAUAUUUCUUCAGACCACUAAAGGAAUCCAACCAUCGUUUUGCAGGUUCAGGCGAACCCAAAUGAUACACAUAUGCAAGUAGAAAAGAACAAUGAAACUAUUAAUUUAUUCCUAAAAUCGUAUCUACAGAGUAUGCUUGAAAUAUAAAGCACGACCAUUUAAAAAUAUAACCAAACUUGUAACAUCAGAAAAAGAAAGUGUAGAAUGUAUCUCUUACAGUUGAAGUAGUGUCCAUUCCCAACUUGAGCAAUUUUUCCUUUUAAAACCCUGUUAAAUAAAAAUAAGGAGACCAUUAUAUUCCAAUUAAAUAAAUUACAAAUAUCCAAUAAUAUCAUGUAUUGAGAAUCUAAAAAUCACAAAAUAAGAACAGCGAAAAAAUGUAAACAAGUAGACCCACAUUUUAAGUAGCAAUCUGGUUGCAAAACUUUCAUAGCCGAGGAAGACCAGUUAGAAAGAUACUAUAAUGAAUUUACCAAGAAAACUGAAUAAAAAAAUAAUUACAGUAAUUUAUAUUUUUCGCUGAUGACUUUCUAUGAGCUGAAUUCAUAAGAAAUAAAAAUGGAUUUCGACCAAAUAAUGCCCACAAGGACCAAUUGCAAUAUCAAGGCUCAAUCUGCAGUCUGCGUUUCUAAUGGGGCAAAGAGAAGGAUACCAUACCAUAAUUGCAAAAGAACCUGUUGCAUGUGAUAGAAAAAGCCUCAAAUCACAUACCAUCCAAGGUUUUCAAGCCAACAUAUUGUCUGAUUGUGUCCAUGCCCAAAUAAAAAAAUCAGCAACUUAAGCAAGUCCAUUUCUCAAUUUCUCCGUAGCGAGAAAAUUGAAGCAACCGAUAACAUUUAAAUAGAACAGGAAAAGCAAAUAACACAAAAAAUUAAGUAGAAAAUACUGAAAAAAGGGAAAGAGGUAGAAGAAGCACUCAAGAGAGAAAGAGAAGGUGAAGAAGAAAGAAAAAUAAGAAGACAAAGGGUCUGGCCACAAUCAACACGUGAAAACCAGAGAAAGUUCAAAAGAAGUGAAGAAUGUAGUGAUUGUAAAAUUUGAGAAGAAGAUUAAAUCAAGAUUGAGGGUUUUCCUGAAAAUGAUGAGAAGAUGAAUCAAUAUGAAUAGUCCUUCGAAAACUAGGGAGAGUUUUAGAGUUUGUGUCAGAUAUAUUAACAAGG
This 1335-nucleotide long non-coding RNA is filed under the name Nicotiana benthamiana. RNAcentral's name for it is "long non-coding RNA (NBEN_LNC015231)". The record is from RNAcentral. Lineage: Eukaryota; Viridiplantae; Streptophyta; Magnoliopsida; Solanales; Solanaceae.